Pediculus humanus corporis (human body louse) is the source of this 93-nucleotide microRNA precursor. The record is from RefSeq and is a predicted model, not a curated record. Lineage: Eukaryota; Metazoa; Arthropoda; Insecta; Psocodea; Pediculidae.
UGCAUUCGGUUUAGUGGGGUUUCCAAGACGCAUUUAGCAUUUUUUAAAAAUAUUUAUUUGCAAUGCCCUUAGAAAUCCCAAAUAACCGAAUGA